RNAcentral lists this ribosomal RNA (641 nucleotides) under Bacillus sp. I13B-01793. RNAcentral's name for it is "bacterial SSU rRNA". It matches the Rfam family "Bacterial small subunit ribosomal RNA", at positions 102 to 728 of the family's 1533-position model. The record is from RNAcentral. Lineage: Bacteria; Bacillati; Bacillota; Bacilli; Caryophanales; Bacillaceae.
ACGGGUGAGUAACACGUGGGUAACCUGCCCAUAAGACUGGGAUAACUCCGGGAAACCGGGGCUAAUACCGGAUAACAUUUUGAACUGCAUGGUUCGAAAUUGAAAGGCGGCUUCGGCUGUCACUUAUGGAUGGACCCGCGUCGCAUUAGCUAGUUGGUGAGGUAACGGCUCACCAAGGCAACGAUGCGUAGCCGACCUGAGAGGGUGAUCGGCCACACUGGGACUGAGACACGGCCCAGACUCCUACGGGAGGCAGCAGUAGGGAAUCUUCCGCAAUGGACGAAAGUCUGACGGAGCAACGCCGCGUGAGUGAUGAAGGCUUUCGGGUCGUAAAACUCUGUUGUUAGGGAAGAACAAGUGCUAGUUGAAUAAGCUGGCACCUUGACGGUACCUAACCAGAAAGCCACGGCUAACUACGUGCCAGCAGCCGCGGUAAUACGUAGGUGGCAAGCGUUAUCCGGAAUUAUUGGGCGUAAAGCGCGCGCAGGUGGUUUCUUAAGUCUGAUGUGAAAGCCCACGGCUCAACCGUGGAGGGUCAUUGGAAACUGGGAGACUUGAGUGCAGAAGAGGAAAGUGGAAUUCCAUGUGUAGCGGUGAAAUGCGUAGAGAUAUGGAGGAACACCAGUGGCGAAGGCGACUUU